UUUGGAGGGCAAGUCUGGUGCCAGCAGCCGCGGUAAUUCCAGCUCCCAUAGCGUAUAUUAAAGUUGUUGCAGUUAAAAAGCUCGUAGUUGAAUUUCGGGGUUAGUAAGUUGGUCGUGCCACUGGUAUGUACUGGCUUUACUGAUUCCUCCUUCUUGAAGAACUGUAAUGCCUUUAAUUUGGGGUUGCGGGAAAACAGGACUGUUACUUUGAAAAAAUUAAAGUGUUUAA
This 229-nucleotide ribosomal RNA is filed under the name Glomus sp. RNAcentral's name for it is "partial small subunit ribosomal RNA". It matches the Rfam family "Eukaryotic small subunit ribosomal RNA", at positions 547 to 778 of the family's 1831-position model. Lineage: Eukaryota; Fungi; Glomeromycota; Glomeromycetes; Glomerales; Glomeraceae. The record is from RNAcentral.